Molecule: ribosomal RNA, 498 nt
Filed under: uncultured bacterium
Lineage: Bacteria
Description: partial 16S ribosomal RNA
Rfam family: Bacterial small subunit ribosomal RNA
Source: RNAcentral
GACGAACGCUGGCGGCAUGCCUAAUACAUGCAAGUUGAACGAUGAUACUCUCUGCUUGCCGAGAAUUGAAGAGUAGCGAACGGGUGAGUAACACGUGGGGAACCUGCCCAUGAGAGGGGGAUAACAUUCGGAAACGGAUGCUAAUACCGCAUAAUGCUUUGGACCGCCUGGUCCAGAGACGAAAGACGGCUUUUGCUGUCACUCAUGGAUGGCCCCGCGCCGUAUUAGCUAGUUGGUGAGGUAAUGGCUCACCAAAGCUGUGAUACGUAGCCGACCUGAGAGGGUGAUCGGCCACACUGGGACUGAGACACGGCCCAGACUCCUACGGGAGGCAGCAGUAGGGAAUCUUCCACAAUGGGCGAAAGCCUGAUGGAGCAAUGCCGCGUGAAUGAAGAAGGUCUUCGGAUCGUAAAGUUCUGUUAUUAGAGAAGAACAAGUCAAGGAGUAACUGUCUUGACUUUGACGGUACCUAACCAGAAAGUCACGGCUAACUACGUG